This is a long non-coding RNA of Medicago truncatula (barrel medic), 393 nucleotides long. RefSeq lists it as uncharacterized. The transcript is spliced from 2 exons. The record is from RefSeq and is a predicted model, not a curated record. Lineage: Eukaryota; Viridiplantae; Streptophyta; Magnoliopsida; Fabales; Fabaceae.
CAUUUUAGGAGAUCGCUAGCUUUAUACCUUAUAAAAGGAUCAAGUCUUGUUCUUUCUAUUUAUUACAGAAAAAGAGGUGGAAAACAUGAAUACAAUUCUGAAAUUUAUUUUCGUUGUGUUCCUCUUUCUUUCCAUAUUUCUUAGUGCAGGGAACAGUAAAAGUUAUGGUCCAUGUACUACUCUCCAAGAUUGUGAAACGCAUAAUUGGUUUGAAGUUUGUUCGUGUAUUGAUUUCGAGUGUAAAUGUUGGUCUCUUUUGUGAGCCGUCACAUAAAUGUUUUUUCUCUUUUAUCCAUCAAACAAAGUUGAUUUAGGGUCAAUUUUUGACAACAAAUCACUUUUAUAGAUCGUUUUUCUUCUUCCCUUUUAUUUAAAUUAGUGAUUUUCACACUA